Long non-coding RNA from Serinus canaria (Common canary), 2570 nucleotides. RefSeq lists it as uncharacterized. Lineage: Eukaryota; Metazoa; Chordata; Aves; Passeriformes; Fringillidae. The transcript is spliced from 3 exons. The record is from RefSeq and is a predicted model, not a curated record.
CUUAAAAGUGACUGCAUAGAACUAAAUAGACUGCUAAAAAUGAUAAUAAAAAAUUGAGAUAACCUUGCCCCUUUGUUAUUCACAACAUCACACUGAGCUGCAUCUCAGUUCUUUUACUCCAGCUAAAUAUUGGUGUCUUCAAUGGGGUGUCCCUGUGGAUUUAAAUGUUACUGACAUGUGUAAGCACAGACUUAUCUCGUUCUUAUCAACAGAAAAUUUUCAGAGAGCUGCCAAUGCGUCAAAACUCUUUCUGAGUCCCCAAAGUUUAUUGCAAUUCCUUAUGACUGUUUAUGUAAAUUCCCACAAACUCACGUGCACUGAAAACCCAACAGAAAUCUUCUGAUACUACUGCAUUCCUCCUCUUGUCAAAACCUUUGACAGCAAGUCAGAUUCUGCCUUUUGAAAGGAACAGCUAUUUUUAUUCCUGUUGCAAAAGGUUUUCCAAACUCCACAUGCAUUGUUAUGUCCCUCAAAUGCAUUACAUCACACGACUCUUCUGAAAGGUGUCCAAACCCUGCAUUAAAACACUUGUGGGAAAAGUUGAAAAAAUAAAUGGUUUAUGUUAAAUGGUAUUUUGAAAGGGGAAUGAAAUGUAUUGCACUGAUAUGGAAAGGUAGUGUAGUAAUGAAUGCUUUGGGUUUGAAUUAAGUGUUAUGCUCUCUCUCAUUAAACUCCUUUCUGAAGUUAUGCAGACUUAGGUGUAUCUUCCCCCUCUUUCCUCCUUUUCCACUGGGUAUAAGAGAAGAGUGGUGAAGUCUGAACUCUCUGAACAUCAUGCCAUGAGAAACAUAACCAAAGCAGGUUUUGACAAGUUUUUGGCAGAAUUCAGGCACCUCGUUGCUCAGGCUGGGAAAUUCUGACAAAGCUGGCUUGUUGAGAAGAGCUGUUUUCCUCUGAAGGUACCUAUGUCCCAGCAGAUGGCUGGAUGGCCAGCACAGAAUCUUUAGCUUGGUGCUGCACUGUGCUGCAUGGAUUGGAUCCUCCUUUAAACUCCACUGGUGCUGUUCACAAAAAGAUCAGGCUGAGGAUGAGGACACCUGCAUUGCAGUCUCAGCAGCCUCCUCCCCUUCCUGGGACAUGAUGAUCUGGUUGUCCUCAAGAGAAUGACAAAGAGACUGAAUUUUAUAAAACAUCAGAAUAAGGUUGCAAAGGCCCAGAUAAACAAAUUUUCAUACCAUGUGGUUGUGCCUGUCAGCAGUGAGUGAUACAUCAAAUACAAUGGAAGUUAUGUGAAAAUGCUGGAGAUUUCAGCUUUCCUACAUCAUUCAGAGCCAAUUACCACAGCAGAAAUUUGGUCAUAUUGGAAAAGACUGAGCACUGUUUGGAGAAACUGAAAGGAUUUACUUAGUUUUUGUUCUAUUUCUAUAUUUAAGAUCAUUUGCCAUUCCAGAGCUGUUUCCCACCAUAGCAACUGAGAGCCCAUGUGGCACAUGGGAAGGUCAAAAAAUGGACAUUUCAAAGAAACCAGAAAACAUUUUCCUUUUAUUUUAUCUUGUAAAUGCAUUUGCAGUUUGCUAAAACAACAAAGCAAGACAUUUCAUAUAUUCUGUUCCUUAACUGAAUGAUAGACCAGAGCCUCAGCUGGUGUGAUCUUGUAUCCUUCCCUUGCAAUCAAUGUAGUGCCAUGGGAAAUUCACUUCCAAACCUCAUUUUUCAUGGUGAGCACAGAAACUUUUCAUGCAGUUCCUCUCAAGGCUUCUACCACUGCUGCUGCCAUCCAUCACUAGAGCUCCUUCUGCCCAGGAGCUUUUGAGAGCCCUGCCAGGGAUUUUGGUAUGAGUGGCAACAGCUUUGCUGCCCAUGUAUCACCAAAAAAUUUCUGCCAUGCCAGGGUCAGACCAGUCUUGGAUUUGACAACCCACUUGACAGGCAUGCAGAUGAUAUUUUUUUUCCACUGGCUUAUAGUGGCUUCAUGAUAACCCAGCUGAGACAAGUAUAUUUCUAUUUUUGAAGAGAUUUAACUCACUUUUAAAGGGAGUUAACAUGGUUACCUGGGACAGCAUUUUGCAAAUUUUUCAAUUAUUAUCUUGUUCAUGAAUGUACACAUUUCCUUUAAGAGGAUAUGUGCCUAAACCACAGUGCAUGGACAUGAGUCAAUAAAGGAAGCAAUUCUUGUAAGCUUGAGUGCAUCUACAAGUUUCUUAAGAACAGACCAUGGCAGCAGAUUUGCAUGGCACAAGUUACUGUCAUCUGAAAACAUGAGCUGCUAUAAAAUGCUGCUCUGUCAUGCUGGAUCAGUGAGGACAGUGGUAAACAAAGCCUAAAUGAACUGUGUCAGGACUUGAAUUUAUAGAUUCAUAGAAUUAUUUAGGUUGGCAAAGAUCUCCAAGGUCAUUGAGUCCAACCAUUAACCCAGAACUACCAGAUACCCAAUCCCAAAUCAUGUCCCUAGGCUCCACAUCUACAUGUUUUGUGAACAAUUCCAGGCAUGGUGAUUCUACCACAUCCCUGAGCAUCCUCUUCCAUCUUCUUCUUCUUUCAGUGAAGAAAUUUUUUUCUACUGCCCAAUAUAAACCUUCAAACAUCUAUACAAAUAUUGCCCAGUUUGCAAUUUUCAGUGAAAAUAAAAA